GAUGGCAGAGAGGUCACACCCGUUCCCAUACCGAACACGGAAGUUAAGCUCUCUAGCGCCGAUGGUAGUUGGGACCUUGUCCCUGUGAGAGUAGGACGUCGCCAAGC
RNAcentral lists this ribosomal RNA (107 nucleotides) under Bacillus anthracis (anthrax bacterium). Lineage: Bacteria; Bacillati; Bacillota; Bacilli; Caryophanales; Bacillaceae. RNAcentral also lists the same sequence under 270 other names. The record is from RNAcentral.